RNAcentral lists this ribosomal RNA (1037 nucleotides) under Frischella perrara. Its description in RNAcentral is "bacterial SSU rRNA". It matches the Rfam family "Bacterial small subunit ribosomal RNA", at positions 405 to 1435 of the family's 1533-position model. The record is from RNAcentral. Lineage: Bacteria; Pseudomonadati; Pseudomonadota; Gammaproteobacteria; Orbales; Orbaceae.
AUGAAGAAGGCCUUAGGGUUGUAAAGUACUUUCGGUGAUGAGGAAGUUAUGUGUGGGAUAAGCACAUAUAAUUGACGUUAGUUACAGAAGAAGCACCGGCUAACUCCGUGCCAGCAGCCGCGGUAAUACGGAGGGUGCGAGCGUUAAUCGGAAUGACUGGGCGUAAAGGGCAUGUAGGCGGAUGAUUAAGUUAGGUGUGAAAGCCUCGGGCUCAACCUGAGAAUAGCAUUUAAAACUGGUGAUCUGGAGUACUGUAGAGGGAGGUAGAAUUCCACGUGUAGCGGUGAAAUGCGUAGAGAUGUGGAGGAAUACCGGUGGCGAAGGCGGCCUUCUGGACAGAUACUGACGCUGAGAUGCGAAAGCGUGGGGAGCAAACAGGAUUAGAUACCCUGGUAGUCCACGCUGUAAACGAUGUCGAUUUGGAGUUUGUUGCCUAGAGUGAUGGGCUCCGAAGCUAACGCGAUAAAUCGACCGCCUGGGGAGUACGGCCGCAAGGUUAAAACUCAAAUGAAUUGACGGGGGCCCGCACAAGCGGUGGAGCAUGUGGUUUAAUUCGAUGCAACGCGAAGAACCUUACCUGGUCUUGACAUCCACAGAAUCUUUCAGAGAUGAGGGAGUGCCUUCGGGAACUGUGAGACAGGUGCUGCAUGGCUGUCGUCAGCUCGUGUUGUGAAAUGUUGGGUUAAGUCCCGCAACGAGCGCAACCCUUAUCCUUUGUUGCCAGCGAUUAGGUCGGGAACUCAAAGGAGACUGCCGUUGAUAAAACGGAGGAAGGUGGGGACGACGUCAAGUCAUCAUGGCCCUUACGACCAGGGCUACACACGUGCUACAAUGGCGUAUACAAAGGGAAGCGAAGGUGCGAGCUGGAGCGGACCUCCUAAAGUACGUCUAAGUCCGGAUUGGAGUCUGCAACUCGACUCCAUGAAGUCGGAAUCGCUAGUAAUCGUGAAUCAGAAUGUCACGGUGAAUACGUUCCCGGGCCUUGUACACACCGCCCGUCACACCAUGGGAGUGGGUUGCACCAGAAGUAGAUAGCU